GGAAGCAAAGCAUGGCCAGACGAAUU
This 26-nucleotide non-coding RNA is filed under the name Rattus norvegicus (Norway rat). Lineage: Eukaryota; Metazoa; Chordata; Mammalia; Rodentia; Muridae. The record is from RNAcentral.